UAGUGCUUUCCUCUGAAGGAAGUGCUGUUUCAGAUAUCACUCAGGGACACAUCAAAGCAGCAGGCCUUAAUCUGGGGAUAGGAAGAAUGCAUUUCACUCUCUGAGUUCAUGAUGUGGGAUUUGCACUCUGCAGAGGAACAAUACAGUUGAACUGGACUCCUGAAAAGUGAAAGUUGACCCCUGAGAAAUGGCUGGAGGAAGUCGAGGGAGCCACGGAGUAAAGACGUUCCAGAAUGCAAGGACCUGAGAAGGAGGAGCUCCCAUAUCUGAGUGCAAAACAAGAUGAAUGUCCCAGCUCAAGAAGACAGCAUGAGGACCUGUCCUUCCUUUGCCUAUUUUAUUCCGUCUAGACCCUCAGAGGAUCAGCUGAUGCCCAACACAUUGUAGAGUGUUGUGGAAAACAUCUCUCCUCUAAACUGGACACAUGUCAACAAAGAAUGAUGAGAAGCUUCUAUGCUUAUCUAGGGUCCCUGGAAAACAAUAUGGCAGAGAGCAGUGAAUUGGAGCUGGAUGUCCAAGAGGAAAUGUUAAUAUUUUCUCAUCAAACCAGAGAGCACUACUCCACACAGGGGAAAAAGGUACAUUGCUUGACCUCUGAGGCCUGCUUUGACAUGCUCCUUUUCCAGCUGAAAGUUCCAGAAUUGCAGUUGGCUGAUGGUAUACACACUCCAGUUUAAGUACAUUAAAAUGUCCUGAUUACAGUCUUCCUCCUUCAGUCUCAGCCUUGGUUCCCCUUUUCACCUAUGUAGGGCUUAUCACAUAUUGUGUCUAGCCCAGCAUUUUUAUACAGAGAUGGCGAACAUAACCUUUGUGAUUUCUUUAGUAUCAUUUCUUUUAUUGUACAUUUUCUUUUCCCCUGUGUCUUUCUGUCCACAUUACUUGGUUUUCUAUUUCUCAUCAGAGGAAAACACGAUCCUUUUACUUUUCAGCUCCUUCCCAAAGAUGCAUUUUAAUUCAUUUGCUAGAAAUUUGGAAUGAUUCACAAAUCCUAUGUUAAUCCUGAUCUGUAAAAUAAUAUAAUGUUUGUUCUCAUUAUGUAUGCACACGUGUGGAUAGAUAGAUAGGUACAUAGAUAGAUAGAUAGAUACAUACAUACAUACAUACAUAUGCACACUCUAGAUUUCUAUACAUACUUUAUCCCUUCUUUGGAAAUUGUUCAUUAUUAACAAUGCUGUACAAAGGUUGUCAUGCCAAUUCCAUUCCAACCUUUGAAACUUUGAUAAAAUGCGACAUGUUGAAGAAACAUCUGUCCUCAACUCUACUGCCUGCUAGGUCUCUCUGCCCUAUAGUUGCAAGUGCUCCUGAAAAUGACUUUCCAUGAUUAAGCUCUUUGGAACUGAUUUGCGAAGAGUUUAUUGCCUUUGUACAUAAUUCUGAAUUUGAAUAUAAAGGUUACAUAAAAUAUUGUUCUAAAUUCUACUUGCAAAAAAUGAUUUAAUGCAAUGUAGCCUAAUCAGCUCUUAGAGAGGACCUAUACUUUACCUGUAAAUACGUCAUUAUUUACUUGUUAUAAUGAUAACUGAUUAAUUAGAUAUUAACAUACUGUCAACAUCAUUUCAUGUGUGCAUUCGGGCUUUUAAAUGAAGUUUGGAGGAGUCUAAAAAAAGAAAAAGAACUGGCAGUGUAGUUGCCAGGAGUAUUGCUAAGGGAAUAAAAUGUUGGCUAAAAGAUAAAGGGAUUCAGAGGCACAAACUUCCAGUUACAAAAUAACUAAGUCACAAAGAUGAAAAGUACAGCAUAGACAAUAUAGUCAAUAAGGUAAUAAUAACAUUGUCUGAUGACAGGUGAACACUGAGCAAUUUAUAGAAUUGUUGAAUCAUAAUGUUGGACACCUGAAGCUAACAUAGGACUCUAUGUUAAUUCUACUUCAAUAAUAAUUUUAAGACAUUGGCUAAAAGAUAAUUUCAAACUGGAAAGCAAUGCAAAAUCAAACAUCCUCAGUAUGAAAACAUAGCUUCUUAAGAAGGAAAACUUGAGCAAAGAUACGAGAUAAUGUGAAGCAGAGAAAUUUUUUUAUAACUGAAAGACAUUUAGGUAGUGAGACUUUAUAUUCCUAAGUAGUGGGGUUUUUUUUAUCUUCCUUUGUGAAGAGAGGGAAUAAAUAAAUUUUAGAGCAAGGGAAUUGAGAGAGAAACGUCACGUCCCUUUCCCAUCCUUUGAAUUAGUUCUUCCUGCUACCUGCAGAAGGAAAAGUUUGUUAAAGCGAAGCCUUUAGUGAAGAAUAAUAGCUAGGGAGAGAGCUUAGAUGCCAAACGUAUCAAGCAAAAUCUAAAUGUUAAGAAGGUAAUUGAAAAUCAUAUUGUGAAUCUAAAUUUAUAUAUAAUAUGUGUCUAUAUACAUUAAGAAGUGGUUGUAUUGUAGUUUACUAACCUAAGCAGAAAAGCUACAUCUUGAAGCCAGUGAAGAAAAAUGUUUGGCUUUUCAUACUGUGUGGCCAUGCCAAACUAUUUAGAGGAACAAAGAAGGAAAAAUGCCUGGAUCUGAGUUACGGAAUUUAAAUCCUGCAAUGACAAGCUUUUCACUAAAACAGAGACAUGGGUAAGUGAACUACGGAGCUGAAGGACAUGCAGUUUAUUGUUGUUUUUUUAUUUAGCUGAUAUAUGUCAAUUUAAUGAACUGUGUAAUUGUUGGAUACUGUCUAAAGGGCACUUUCUAGUCAAUAUCUUAACAAAUCCUUACAGCAACCCUAUGGGGCAUUUACUUUUAUUUUCAUUUUGCUGUUUUAGAGAUGAGGAAAUAGAAACUUCGUUCAAAUAACUUGCUCAAAAGGACAGAGUAAUGGGGAACAACUUUUCAAAACCAAGGAGGCUACAACUCUUGAAAAACCUGAAAAAUAAAAAUAAAAAAAAUACUGCAGCAGCCAGAAUCUUGAGUUUAUGCACGUAACCACGAGGCUAUUCUACAUCUUAACGGGGAUGUGAGCUGCUCAAAGGAGCAGGAUUGAAAUCAAUGUUAACCCAGUGAUUUUCAAAUUGAAAAAUACAUUUUGGGAGCCAAGGGAUCAUAGACAAUGACAUUCAUUUAAAUUAAAAAAAAAAACCUUUAUACUUCACUAAGAAUAUUGAAGAAAACUUCUGUAGACUCCCACUAGAUACCUACCUACCUACCAGCAUCUUUAUUCACACAUUCUUUUGGUAAAGCUAUCUUCCAUUACAUACCAGAUUCUAUUCUAUUUCUUAAGGAAAUUGCUCUAAAUUUUUUUCAUCAUUGCCUUUUGCGUUAUUAUUUGCCUUCUCUAUUAGAGUGUCCCCAUCAGCAUGCAAUAUACUAUUAUUUUUUAACCACAUGUUAAAAAAAUCUUUCUUCACCCCACCACCUACCCAGGUAUUUGUUCAACUCUCUCUCUUUUUGCAGCGACAUGCUUACCAAGAGUUGUCUAUCAUAGCUGACUCAUUCUAUCUCCAUUCUUUCUUAUGGAGUCCCCAGACAGGCUUUUUCUUCCACCAUUGUCACCAAAAUUUCUCUGAAAAUGCUACCACCCACUUCUUGAAAAAUGAAACCAUGAUUUGCAAUCACACUUCAUUGUAAUUUCAGUAGAUAAAAACUUACCAAAUCAAAACGUGCAACUCACCUGGUUCAAAUGGUUUUCCUAUCAACUUCUAGCAACCCACUCCUUCAAGAGGGAAAAGAUUUUUAUUUGUUUUGUUCAAUGAAGUUUUCACAAUGUUUUGUACAGGGCAUAUCACUUAGCAGGUACUCAAAAAACAUUUGUUGAAUAUAUGAAUGAAUGAAUACAUGAAUACAUGAAUAUAUGCACAAAUAAGUGUGUGACUCAAAGUAGUCCGAUGGAUAGACCGUUUGUAAAUCAUUAAGGAACACAUGCCAAGCCAGACAAUGAUUUAAAAUAUCAUGAUUCACUUAACCUCUGGUUGUAUUCUACAGAAAGUCAAUACUGAAGGAAAAGCCUUUAAUGAGAUCAAUAAAUUGUGUUUCCUUAGGGUAAGUGUCCAGUCAAAAAUUCUGUAUUUUACCUGCCUUUCACAGUGCUUGAUAAAGCUCAAUAAAUAUUUGCCAAAUAAUGAAAUGAAUAAAUGCAAUUUCAAUACUGCAAUGGAAAUAAGAUGCAAGUAUAUGUAACUCUGGACGUAUUGAGUCCUGUAAUACGUUUAUUUUCCUGUGGAAGUCCAUUAUAUUUCAUAGCCCCAGGUGUUCAGUGGAUCAAUUGUAGAAGUAAUACUACCCUGGGAAAAUAAAUUGCAUCUUGUCUAUAUAUGUAUUUGGAGAAGGAAAGCACAACUUACUUCUUGGAGGAAACCGAAGUUUCCAGGGAAGAAUGUACUCAAAUAGACAUAAUU
Molecule: long non-coding RNA, 4295 nt
Organism: Felis catus (domestic cat)
Lineage: Eukaryota; Metazoa; Chordata; Mammalia; Carnivora; Felidae
Exons: 4
Source: RefSeq, a predicted model, not a curated record